CUGGCCCUUGCUGGCCUUGAAGAUGGAAGAGGCCAGAAGCCAAAGAAUGUGGGCAGCCUCUAGAAGCUGGAAAAGGCAAAAAACGCAUUCUCUCCUAGAGCCUUUUAGAAAGGAACGCAGCCCUACCAACACUUUGAGAUCCAUUUCAGACUUCUGACCUGCAGAACUGCAAGGAUUUUCUGGAAGUGGGGAUUACGUCAGUCCUGGUGUUGCAGGUUUUGUUUAUUUUAACUAAGGAAGCUGAAUGCUAAUGGUGAGGAGUUUCCAUUUGCAAAAUGUAAGUAAUUUUAUUUUUUAUUAUAAAAGUAUUCAUGCUUGUUAUAAAAAUUAUAACAGUGCAGAAGUGUAUAAAGCUCGAAGUAAAGUGUCUUAACUCCCACAGCCAGCACUCAGUCACCAGUCAGGGUAAUUGUUCUCCUGCCCCUCAACAGGCAAUUGGCACUCCCCUUAGCCAACCUUCUUGAGGGAGCAGUUAAGACUCUAAAAGUAAAUCUUUGCUUAUUUUAAUGGUUCUAACAAUUGAUGAAAUAGAAGAAUAACAGGGGCCAGCCUGAUGGUGCAGUGGUUAAGUUCGCAUGCUCCACUUCGGCAGCCCAGGGUUCACAGGUUCAGAUCCCGGGUGCAGACCUACACACUGCUCAUCAAGCCGUGCUGUGGUGGUGUCCCACAGACAAAAUAGAGGAAGAUUGGCACAGACGUUAGCUCAGCAACAAUCUUCCUCAAGGAAAAAAAAAAAAAGAAAUACCAUUUGUAGAUUUGUCUUCUUCUGAAAAGUCCAGAUUCAGAUCUUAUAGCCCAACUUAUAAAUCCACAUUAAGUUAGAUUUCCAUACUUAAGAGAAAUAACUUAUACUAUUAUUAGAGUAAUGUAAAAAUUGCAAAAGACAAAUAAACUACAUUAAUAUACCAAUAGCCAUUUUACCGAGGUGACAGGACUGUGGGGGAGUUCUUUUUUUUCUGCCAUUCUUUGUAGAUUGGGGUAUUGCUUUCGUGUUACUUGUAUAAUGAAAAAAGAAGUUUUACGAAAAACACUCCUGAUAAUGACAUGCUGGAAUAGUUGAUUGAAUUCAAACCAAGCAGCCCAAUAACCGACACUUACUAAAUCUUUGUUGAUUAAAUAGCUUUAAAAAAAGUAUUACUGCUAUUUCCUUUUAGGUUAUUU
Molecule: long non-coding RNA, 1161 nt
Filed under: Equus asinus (donkey)
Lineage: Eukaryota; Metazoa; Chordata; Mammalia; Perissodactyla; Equidae
Description: lncRNA (ENSEASG00005030125.1)
Source: RNAcentral